RNAcentral lists this ribosomal RNA (705 nucleotides) under anaerobic digester metagenome. RNAcentral's name for it is "bacterial SSU rRNA". It matches the Rfam family "Bacterial small subunit ribosomal RNA", at positions 458 to 1173 of the family's 1533-position model. The record is from RNAcentral.
AUGCUUUUGAGUUGACGGUGCCUAACGAGGAAGCCCCGGCUAACUAUGUGCCAGCAGCCGCGGUAAUACAUAGGGGGCGAGCGUUAUCCGGAAUUAUUGGGCGUAAAGGGUACGUAGGCGGGCCUGCAAGUCUGAUUUGAAAGCACACGGCUUAACCGUGUGAGGUAAUUAGAAACUACGGGUCUAGAGAGUGGUAGAGGUAAAUGGAAUUCCAAGUGGAGCGGUGAAAUGCGUAGAGAUUUGGAGGAACACCAGUGGCGAAGGCGGUUUACUGGGCCACAUCUGACGCUGAUGUACGAAAGCGUGGGGAGCAAACAGGAUUAGAUACCCUGGUAGUCCACGCCGUAAACGAUGAGUGCUAAGUAUCGGUAGAAUCGGUGCUCAAGCUAACGCAGUAAGCACUCCGCCUGGGGAGUACGGUCGCAAGACUGAAACUCAAAGGAAUUGACGGGGACUCGCACAAGCGGUGGAGCAUGCGGUUUAAUUCGAUGCAACGCGAAGAACCUUACCAGGUCUUGACAUACUGUUGCUGGGGUUAGAGAUAAUCCGUUUCUUCGGAACAACAGAUACAGGUGGUGCAUGGUUGUCGUCAGCUCGUGUCGUGAGAUGUUGGGUUAAGUCCCGCAACGAGCGCAACCCUUAUCAUUAGUUGCUAACAGUAAGAUGAGCACUCUAAUGAGACCGCCGGCGCAAGCCGGAUGAAGG